This 492-nucleotide ribosomal RNA is filed under the name uncultured bacterium. RNAcentral describes it as "partial 16S ribosomal RNA". It matches the Rfam family "Bacterial small subunit ribosomal RNA", at positions 29 to 507 of the family's 1533-position model. The record is from RNAcentral.
AGUGAACGCUGGCGGUAGGCCUAACACAUGCAAGUCGAACGGCAGCACAGUAAGAGCUUGCUCUUACGGGUGGCGAGUGGCGGACGGGUGAGGAAUACAUCGGAAUCUACUUUUUCGUGGGGGAUAACGUAGGGAAACUUACGCUAAUACCGCAUACGACCUACGGGUGAAAGCAGGGGAUCUUCGGACCUUGCGCGAUUGAAUGAGCCGAUGUCGGAUUAGCUAGUUGGCGGGGUAAAGGCCCACCAAGGCGACGAUCCGUAGCUGGUCUGAGAGGAUGAUCAGCCGCACUGGAACUGAGACACGGUCCAGACUCCUACGGGAGGCAGCAGUGGGGUAUAUUGGACAAUGGGCGCAAGCCUGAUCCAGCCAUACCGCGUGGGUGAAGAAGGCCUUCGGGUUGUAAAGCCCUUUUGUUGGGAAAGAAAAGCAGCAGGUUAAUACCCCGCUGUUCUGACGGUACCCAAAGAAUAAGCACCGGCUAACUUCGUG